RNAcentral lists this ribosomal RNA (505 nucleotides) under uncultured bacterium. RNAcentral's name for it is "bacterial SSU rRNA". It matches the Rfam family "Bacterial small subunit ribosomal RNA", at positions 903 to 1397 of the family's 1533-position model. The record is from RNAcentral.
AAAUGAAUAGACGGGGGCCCGCACAAGCGGUGGAGCAUGUGGCUUAAUUCGAUGCAACGCGAAGAACCUUACCUGGGUUUGACAUGCAGAGUUCAGUCCCUGAAAGGGGAUGGCUGCUGCAAAGUAGCGAUCUGCACAGGUGCUGCAUGGCUGUCGUCAGCUCGUGCCGUGAGGUGUUAGGUUAAGUCCUGCAACGAGCGCAACCCCUAUGAUUAGUUGCUAACCCGCCAGCAAUGGCGGAAGGACUCUAGUCAGACUGCCCGUGAUAAGCGGGAGGAAGGUGGGGAUGACGUCAAGUCAGUAUGGUCCUUAUGCCCAGGGCUGCACACGUGCUACAAUGGCUGGUACAGAAGGAAGCGAGACCGCGAGGUGGAGCCAAUCCCCAAAACCAGCCCCAGUUCGGAUUGAAGUCUGCAACUCGACUUCAUGAAGCCGGAAUCGCUAGUAAAGGCGUAUCAGCUACGGCGCCUUGAAUACGUUCCCGGGCCUUGUACACACCGCCCGU